CCUACGGGAGGCUGCAGUGAGGAAUAUUGGUCAAUGGACGAGAGUCUGAACCAGCCAAGUAGCGUGAAUGAUGACUGCCCUAUGGGUUGUAAACUUCUUUUAUAUGGGAAUAAAAUGUUCCACGUGUGGGAUUUUGUAUGUACCAUAUGAAUAAGGAUCGGCUAACUCCGUGCCAGCAGCCGCGGUAAUACGGAGGAUCCGAGCGUUAUCCGGAUUUAUUGGGUUUAAGGGGAGCGUAGGUGGAUUGUUAAGUGAGUUGUGAAAGUUUGCGGCUCAACCGUAAAAUUGCAGUUGAAACUGGCAGUCUUGAGUACAGUAGAGGUGGGCGGAAUUCGUGGUGUAGCGGUGAAAUGCUUAGAUAUCACGAAGAACUCCGAUUGCGAAGGCAGUUCACUGGACUGCAACUGACACUGAGGCUCGAAAGUGUGGGUAUCAAACAGGAUUAGAUACCCUUGUAGUC
Molecule: ribosomal RNA, 460 nt
Filed under: uncultured bacterium
Lineage: Bacteria
Description: partial 16S ribosomal RNA
Rfam family: Bacterial small subunit ribosomal RNA
Source: RNAcentral